GCGUUCGUGGUGUAACGGUAGCACACUCUGAUCGUAUUCAAAAGGUCCAGGUUCGAGCCCUGUCGAAUGCA
This 71-nucleotide transfer RNA is filed under the name Stegodyphus mimosarum. It matches the Rfam family "tRNA". Rfam says of the family: Transfer RNA (tRNA) molecules are approximately 80 nucleotides in length. Their secondary structure includes four short double-helical elements and three loops (D, anti-codon, and T loops). Further hydrogen bonds mediate the characteristic L-shaped molecular structure. tRNAs have two regions of fundamental functional importance: the anti-codon, which is responsible for specific mRNA codon recognition, and the 3' end, to which the tRNAs corresponding amino acid is attached (by aminoacyl-tRNA synthetases). tRNAs cope with the degeneracy of the genetic code in two manners: having more than one tRNA (with a specific anti-codon) for a particular amino acid; and 'wobble' base-pairing, i.e. permitting non-standard base-pairing at the 3rd anti-codon position. The record is from Rfam by way of RNAcentral. Lineage: Eukaryota; Metazoa; Arthropoda; Arachnida; Araneae; Eresidae.